GUCAAUAGUUGGACUUACAUUAAAAAUAAAAGGAUUAAAUUCUAAUUAUACGAAAAUUACAGCAACCUAAGCAUAUUUUUGACUAAUUAUAAAAUAUAUAAAAACUGAUACAAUAUGUUAAUAAAAAAUUAGUAAAAAGACACCUUCAAAGAAAAUAGUAAAAAAAGAUAUAAAUAUCGAUUUUCUAUUACUAAAUUCACAAACCAAAAAAAAAGAAAAAAAAAAGUGAACAUAAUUCCUUAUAUCAUCGGCCGGCUGGAGAUUUCACGGCGACAGAGAGGACAAGAAUUGCCGUUUCCGUUCAAAAGCCAACCAGUAAUACAGUUAUGAUGAUAAACACGACAACCGACGACAUAUCGGAAACCAGACCGGCGACUUCUUCUUGCCUGGCUUGAGGAUUUUCCGGCACCGUUGUUGCUUCGUCGAGAUCGAAUUGUUGAGUGAUGUAAUAAGGGAUUAUUAAAGAAUUAUUAUUGUUGCCCAAAACGACGCCGUCAACUUUACUGAUCCACUCGCCAUGUAUUUUUUGUCUUUUUUAAACUAGAGAUGAGUUUUCAUGUAUGAAAAUGCAUUAUCUUUAUAUAUAAAGGGACUUGCACUUUUCCAUUAAAUUAGACCCCACCAAUUGGG
Molecule: long non-coding RNA, 630 nt
Filed under: Gossypium barbadense (sea-island cotton)
Lineage: Eukaryota; Viridiplantae; Streptophyta; Magnoliopsida; Malvales; Malvaceae
Description: long non-coding RNA (GBAR_LNC018924)
Source: RNAcentral